GGGGGGGGGGGGGGGGGGGGGGGGGGGGGGGGGGGGGGAGGGGGGGGGCCGGCUUGGGGGGGGGGCGCGGGGGGCGAACGGGGGAGUAACACGGGGGUAACCUGCCCUGGACUUGGGGAUAACUUCCGGAAACUGGGGCUAAUACCGGAUAGGAGCUCCUGCUGCAUGGUGGGGGUUGGAAAGUUUCGGCGGUUGGGGAUGGACUCGCGGCUUAUCAGCUUGUUGGUGGGGUAGUGGCUUACCAAGGCUUUGACGGGUAGCCGGCCGGAGAGGGUGACCGGCCACAUUGGGACGGAGAUCCGGCCCAGACUCCUACGGGAGGCAGCAGUGGGGAAUAUUGCACAAUGGGCGGAAGCCUGAUGCAGCAACGCCGCGGGCGGGAUGACGGCCUUCGGGUUGUAAACCGCUUUCGCCUGUGACGAAGCGUGAGUGACGGUAAUGGGGAAAGAAGCACCGGCUAACUACGU
Molecule: ribosomal RNA, 467 nt
Filed under: uncultured bacterium
Lineage: Bacteria
Description: partial 16S ribosomal RNA
Rfam family: Bacterial small subunit ribosomal RNA (bases 52-467)
Source: RNAcentral